RNAcentral lists this transfer RNA (71 nucleotides) under Loxodonta africana (African savanna elephant). It matches the Rfam family "tRNA". From Rfam's summary of the family: Transfer RNA (tRNA) molecules are approximately 80 nucleotides in length. Their secondary structure includes four short double-helical elements and three loops (D, anti-codon, and T loops). Lineage: Eukaryota; Metazoa; Chordata; Mammalia; Proboscidea; Elephantidae. The record is from Rfam by way of RNAcentral.
UUGGUGGUGGUUCAGUGGUAGAAUUCUCGCUUCCCAUGUGGGAGACCCAGGUUCAAUUCCCAGCCACUGUA